This 927-nucleotide long non-coding RNA is filed under the name Vulpes vulpes (red fox). RNAcentral describes it as "lncRNA (ENSVVUG00000022030.1)". The record is from RNAcentral. Lineage: Eukaryota; Metazoa; Chordata; Mammalia; Carnivora; Canidae.
CCACCCACAGAACUUGGCACUUUGACAUUGAGGCGGCACAAAUAAAAACCCAGAUCACAGGAAACAGGUGACUACAUUUUAAUAAAUCAAAGUCUGGAAUCCUAAGCUUGAAACAAUUCCUUAGAACACUCCAGGAAAAACAGUCAUCUGAGUGCAGAUUCACUUGUCCCCACAGAUACGAGACAGUUGAAGGCUGCAUGAAUUAAUGGGACCUUUUCAAAUGGAACUCCACGUUGCUACAAAUUGUUUGGUUCUGAUCUGCCGUCACAAUACCCUGAAAUAGAGAAAACAGUCAUUGAUGACAGGAAGACAGACCCAGUGGUAAAUAUGAAAUGCAUCUCACUGGCAGGCGGGCCCAAAUGCAUGGCACACCGACCUCUCCGGGAGAGCUGGGGCACCCUACUCCCACCCACCCACUCACCAUUGUGAACAAUCAGCCUGUACUGCCUGGCCAAGCACAGGUGCCAUCGAGGUUCAGGAGGCGGCAGGAAUACUGCACGGCAUAUUCAAAAGCCGGACUCGGCCCUUGGCCGUGGCGCUCAUCCGGCCAUUCUCAUCCACCGAGAACUCAGCGACGAUGUUGUCCUGCAGAAAGAGGCCCUCGGGGUCCUUCUUGGCCAUGGCGUACCAGGUCCCGGCGAACUGCGAGGGAGGUGAGCGAGGGAGAGUUAGAGCCCCUCUGAUCCAUCAAAGUCAGAAGAUGCAGCUUCUAACUGAAUGAGAGUUCAUGGUAUGGCAAAGAAAUAGGCACCUUCCUGUGACUCUUUGGACAUCUACCUGCCUGGGUCUCUGCUUCCACUUGACACCUUUCCCUGCUUCCAGGUUGUGCCUUCAGGGUGUCUGGAGUGCCAAUGAUGAUGCAUUUAACUCCUUACUGCCCCAGAGCUAGGAAAGCCCUGUUUCUGGCCAACCAGCUAACUGGUUAGG